UACGGAGGGGGCUAGCGUUGUUCGGAAUUACUGGGCGUAAAGCGCACGUAGGCGGCUUUGUAAGUUAGAGGUGAAAGCCCGGGGCUCAACUCCGGAAUUGCCUUUAAGACUGCAUCGCUAGAAUUGUGGAGAGGUAAGUGGAAUUCCGAGUGUAGAGGUGAAAUUCGUAGAUAUUCGGAAGAACACCAGUGGCGAAGGCGACUUACUGGUCCAUGACUGACGCUGAGGCUCGAAAGCGUGGGGAGCAAACAGG
This 253-nucleotide ribosomal RNA is filed under the name uncultured bacterium. RNAcentral describes it as "partial 16S ribosomal RNA". It matches the Rfam family "Bacterial small subunit ribosomal RNA", at positions 524 to 776 of the family's 1533-position model. The record is from RNAcentral.